UGCAAGUUUAUUCUGUAGUGGUCU
This 24-nucleotide microRNA is filed under the name Spodoptera frugiperda (fall armyworm). RNAcentral describes it as "sfr-miR-10507-5p". Lineage: Eukaryota; Metazoa; Arthropoda; Insecta; Lepidoptera; Noctuidae. The record is from miRBase by way of RNAcentral.